UACGACGGGGGCUAGCGUUGUUCGGAAUUACUGGGCGUAAAGCGCGCGCCGGCGGCCUUGCAAUUCAGUGGUGAAAUCCCAGAGCUUAACUCCGGAAUUGCCAUUGAGACUGCGAGGCUUCGAGUACGGGAGAGGUGAGUGGAAUUCCCAGUGUAGAGGUGAAAUUCGUAGAUAUUGGGAAGAACACCGGUGGCGAAGGCGGCUCACUGGUCCGGUACUGACGCUGAGGUGCGAAAGCGUGGGGAGCAAACAGG
Molecule: ribosomal RNA, 254 nt
Filed under: uncultured bacterium
Lineage: Bacteria
Description: partial 16S ribosomal RNA
Rfam family: Bacterial small subunit ribosomal RNA
Source: RNAcentral